RNAcentral lists this long non-coding RNA (1581 nucleotides) under Malus domestica (apple). RNAcentral describes it as "long non-coding RNA (MDOM_LNC006702)". Lineage: Eukaryota; Viridiplantae; Streptophyta; Magnoliopsida; Rosales; Rosaceae. The record is from RNAcentral.
GCAAGGGGCGAUGAAGAAAGAGCCUUGGUAAGUGUCCCUUUUUUGUUUAAUUUAUUAUUUUUGUUAUUUUAACUUAUUUAAUGUGUUUUUAAACUAAUACAAUUGUCCCCCCCUCCCCCCCCAAAAAAAAACUAAUACAAUUGUAUUUAAAUAGAUUCUAAUACAUCAAGCUAACAACGAGGAGACUUGGGAGUAAUGAGCAUCAACCUUAAUCAGACCUAGAAGCAUAAAAGCAAUUGGUUUCAUAAAGGGUUUGUAAAGAAAACAUUGUACUUUUCAUCGAAAUAUUUUAUUGAUGGUUGUGUAAUUUUUAUUUUCUAAGUUUGAACUCUUUUGGGGAAUUUGAUAUAAAAAAUAUGUUCAUCCACUUUUGGGAGAAGAUUUUUCGUAUUUCACAUUGAACUCUUGUAGGAUUAUAAAUUAGGAUUAUGAGUGGUGUAUUUUCAAAAUGAUACAAUUCUUUUAAUUCAUAUAUUAUUUUACUUUAUAGCAUUAUUGUAACUAAAUUAAAAAUUCCAGCCUCAUGCUUACAUGGAAAAAAUUUCACUUCCAACACAUUGUAUUUACGGUAAAAAUAAAGCAUUUAUGAUGCAUCAAACACGUCUCAAAUAUUCUGUUUAAUUUCAAUGUCAAAGCAGUUGCGAUGUUAACUAUUAUUUUGCAAAGCCAUCAUGAAAAUAACUUUGUGACGCUAACAAUGCAUCACAAUAAUCUAAGGGAACUUUUAUGACCCAUUGCCUUCGGAGUUGAAAUUCUUCUAAUGUAGUUUACUAGCGGUUGAAAUAAUGCAAAAGUUUAAAGAGAAGGAAAAACCAGUAUAAUUUAAUGAUGAAAAAUAAUAACAACGUGAAUUCCACAAGGUCUAAUACCCAAUUAAUAAUCAUAUCUGUUUAUAAUAUGGAAAACUAUUUGAUCACACGUGACUUUGGAAUUAAUCAUGUGUUCGGUAUAAGAAACUCGAAACACAGCGAUUCAGAAGAACAAAAUAAAAAUAAAUAAAUAAAUAAGAAAAAGAAAAAAGAACACGGAUAGAUACUCAGCACUGGUCAGAAUAGUCCUCGUGAAGAAUGAGUUAUGAAACAGACAUAACGGAACCUUCCCCAGAAAGAAUAUUCACUGCCGACACACGACGCCCAUCGUCUUCAGUCUUCAUGCCCGCCCAUGCUGGGCUCUGGGUCUCCACUGAAAUUUCACAUAUGUCCACUUGGCCUAUACUACAAUUCAAUAUCAUAAUCAAAACAACCUUAAUUAUGUUUUAAACCUUAUAAUCCAUGUACAAAUGAAGUGAAUACAACAAAAUUUGUUUUCUAAAACACACAAUUAAUAGCACGUUUGUAGAUUUACUUUUUUGUAUAUGUUUAUGUGCCGUACAAAAAUAGUUUAGACACAUUUAAUUUGAAUCAGUCGUAUAUGAAAAUCAUAUAACAAACAAAAAGUAAAGAUAAAUUUAGUACAUUGAGAAAACAACGGAUUUUAAUUGCUCAUAUCUUGUCAAAAGUUAAAAGUUAUAAUUAUAAAAAGGAGUAAUUAGGUUUUCAUCCUUAUUUUUACUACUCUAUUGAUUAAAACCUUAUUACUUUU